Myotis daubentonii (Daubenton's bat) is the source of this 610-nucleotide long non-coding RNA. RefSeq lists it as uncharacterized. The transcript is spliced from 3 exons. Lineage: Eukaryota; Metazoa; Chordata; Mammalia; Chiroptera; Vespertilionidae. The record is from RefSeq and is a predicted model, not a curated record.
CUCUCGGAAGGUAUAGAAGCAAAAUUCCAACAAGUCACUCACCAGCUGCAACACAGACAGAGAGGGGACGUGACACAGAGCUGUGCAGUGUGAGGGCAUCUACUGCAUCUCCAUGCAGCCGUCCACUGUCAUCCAUGCUCCACUGCAGUAAAAGCAUCAAGGACAACUCUGAGUCCCCUCGCCCAUCCAGCCAUUUCCCUCCUCUGUCACCCAAGGACCUUCUCAGCCUCCUGGAUCUGAACCACUGUUGUGAGGUUUUUUUAAACUCGAAUGGCGAGCUUUCAUUGCGUGGGAUAGUAAAUAACUGUGUGGCAAAGGCCUUCAUUACAAACCAGAAAGCAAGAAAAUCUCAUUCGGAUGGAUACCGGCUCUGUUGGUGGCUGCAGAGAGCUGUUCCCUAGGCAGGUUCCAAACACCGUGACAUGGGGUACGUGUUCUGCAGCCACUGGGCGUGGGGGCCAGAGAAUGCUGGGAAACAGCACCAGCCUCCAUCCCCGUCCGCUCAGGGCAAGUUCACGCACGUGCUUGCUUUGUGGAUGUGGUGCCAGUUUCCAGAUGUGUAAAAUGAGGGUGAGGAGAGCACCUGCUUUCUAGGGUGCCUACUCUCAGU